UUCACCGGUGGGGAUAUUCAACAGAUCCAGCUCGUAAAACCGCCGCGAGGUACCUCAGAUCAAACCCCGCUGAUUGCGUUUUACCCCUGCAGCCACUACCGAAGGGGAGAGGGAAUCAUCCUGGGUUGAGCAAAUUUCCGCUCGGCAGCCCUUGCCUGUGUGCCCUGCCCUCAACACCACAUUGCCCAUACUUCGUGAGCGACCCCGCCUCGCCACAGUCACUGAGAUUUCCACAGCUCCACAGUCACUCCGGCCCCGGUCAGACUUCCGGGCUUUAUCCCAGGAUACCAGCUC
This 294-nucleotide long non-coding RNA is filed under the name Volvox carteri. Its description in RNAcentral is "long non-coding RNA (VCAR_LNC001823)". Lineage: Eukaryota; Viridiplantae; Chlorophyta; Chlorophyceae; Chlamydomonadales; Volvocaceae. The record is from RNAcentral.